RNAcentral lists this ribosomal RNA (493 nucleotides) under uncultured bacterium. RNAcentral's name for it is "partial 16S ribosomal RNA". It matches the Rfam family "Bacterial small subunit ribosomal RNA", at positions 30 to 523 of the family's 1533-position model. The record is from RNAcentral.
AUUGAACGCUGGCGGCAUGCUUUACACAUGCAAGUCGAACGGUAACAGGUUAAGCUGACGAGUGGCGAACGGGUGAGUAAUGUAUCGGAACGUGCCCAGUCGUGGGGGAUAACGUAGCGAAAGCUACGCUAAUACCGCAUACGAUCUCUGGAUGAAAGCGGGGGACCGCAAGGCCUCGCGCGAUUGGAGCGGCCGAUAUCAGAUUAGGUAGUUGGUGGGGUAAAGGCCCACCAAGCCAACGAUCUGUAGCUGGUCUGAGAGGACGACCUGCCACACUGGGACUGAGACACGGCCCAGACUCCUACGGGAGGCAGCAGUAGUGAAUUUUGGACAAUGGGGACAACCCUGAUCCAGCAAUGCCGCGUGCAGGAAGAAGGCCUUCGGGUUGUAAACUGCUUUUGUACGGAACGAAAAGGCUCUGGUUAAUACCUGGGGCUCAUGACGGUACCGUAAGAAUAAGCACCGGCUAACUACGUGCCAGCCGCCGCCGUAA